This is an RNA transcript of Myotis lucifugus (little brown bat), 1373 nucleotides long. It is a transcript of the gene named serine/arginine-rich splicing factor 11 pseudogene, with no coding region annotated. NCBI's taxonomy places the organism in Eukaryota, Metazoa, Chordata, Mammalia, Chiroptera, Vespertilionidae. The record is from RefSeq and is a predicted model, not a curated record. The transcript has a single exon.
UCACCUUUGCCGGUCUCAUCCCGUGUCUGCUUUGUUAAAUUCCAUGAUCCGGACUCAGCAGCUGUGGCACAGCAUCUGACAAACACUGUAUUCGUUGACAGAGCAUUGAUAGUCGUACCAUAUGCAGAAGGAGUUAUUCCUGAUGAGACUAAGGCUUUGUCUCUGUUGGCACCAGCUAAUGCAGUGGCAGGUCUUCUGCCUGGUGGUGGACUCCUGCCUACUCCUAACGCACUUAACCAGAUUGGCGCUGUUCCAUUGGCUGCUUUGGGAGCUCCUACUCUUGAUCCUGCCCUUGCUGCACUUGGGCUUCCUGGAGCAAACUUGAACUCUCAGUCUCUUGCUGCAGAUCAGUUGCUGAAGCUUAUGAGUACUGUUGAUCCCAAGUUGAAUCAUGUAGCUGCUGGUCUUGUUUCACUAAGUCUGAAAUCAGAUACCUUCAGUAAAGAAAUAGAGGAAGCCAUGAAGAGAGUACGAGAAGCACAGUCCCUAAUAUCUGCUGCCAUAGAACCAGAUAAAAAAGAAGAAAAAUGAAGGCACUCAAGAUCAAGAUCACGCUCUAGGAGGAGGAGGACUCCUUCAUCUUCUAGACACAGGCGGUUAAGAAGCAGAUCUAGAAGGAGGUCACAUUCUAAGUCAAGGAGUAGGUGAUCCAAAAGUCCCAGACGGAGAAGAUCUCAUUCCAGAGAGAGAGGUAGAAGGUCAAGGAGCACAUCCAAAAACAGAGACAAAAAGAAAGAAGACAAAGAAAAUAAACGUUCCAAAACACCACCAGAAAGUUAUAGCACAGCUAGACGGACCAGAAGUGCAAGCAGAGAGAGACGACAUCGACGAAGCAGGAGUGGCACAAGAUCUAAAAAGCCCAGGUCUCCGAAAAGAAAAUUGUCUCGCUCACCGUCCCCUAGGAGGCAUAAAAAGGAGAAGAAGAAAGAUAAAGACAAAGAAAGAGGCAGAGAUGAAUGAGAACGAUCAACAAGCAAGAAGAAGAAAAAUAAAGAUAAAGAAAAGGAUCGGGAAAGAAAAUCGGAGAGUGAUAAAGAUGUAAAACAGGUUACAUGGGAUUAUGAUGAAGAAGAACAGGGGUAUGACAGCGAGAAAGAGAAAAAAGAGGAGAAGAGACCAACAGAACCAGUUUCCCCCAAAACAAAAGAAUGUUCUGUGGAAAAGGGAACUGGUGAUCCCCUGAGAGAAUCCAAAGUGAAUGGUGAUGAUCAUCAUGACGAAGACAUGGAUAUGAGUGACUGAAUAUGGCCUCCAUGAGAAUCCACCUGUAUACAUGCAUCAGUUUCAUUCCUUUGUGUGAUAUCUUCAGGCUGUAUUUGUUCAUCUCAAACCUAAGAUGUAUACAGCUCUGAGCUAUAAAUGGUUAUAACGCU